UCCUACGGGAGGCAGCAGUAGGGAAUCUUCGGCAAUGGACGGAAGUCUGACCGAGCAACGCCGCGUGAGUGAAGAAGGUUUUCGGAUCGUAAAGCUCUGUUGUAAGAGAAGAACGAGUGUGAGAGUGGAAAGUUCACACCGUGACGGUAUCUUACCAGAAAGGGACGGCUAACUACGUGCCAGCAGCCGCGGUAAUACGUAGGCCCCGAGCGUUGUCCGGAUUUAUUGGGCGUAAAGCGAGCGCAGGCGGUUAGAUAAGUCUGAAGUUAAAGGCUGUGGCUUAACCGUAGUAGGCUUUGGAAACUGUUUAACUUGAGUGCAAGAGGGGAGAGUGGAAUUCCAUGUGUAGCGGUGAAAUGCGUAGAUAUAUGGAGGAACACCGGUGGCGAAGGCGGCUCUCUGGCUUGUAACUGACGCUGAGGCUCGAAAGCGUGGGGAGCAAACAGGAUUAGAUACCCUGGUAGUCCACGCUGUAAACGAUGAGUGCUAGGUGUUAGACCCUUUCCGGGGUUUAGUGCCGUAGCUAACGCAUUAAGCACUCCGCCUGGGGAGUACGACCGCAAGGUUGAAACUCAAAGGAGUUGACGGGGGCCCGCACAAGCGGUGGAGCAUGUGGUUUAAUUCGAAGCUACGCGAAGAACCUUACCAGGUCUUGACAUCCCUCUGACCGCUCUAGAGAUAGAGUUUUCCUUCGGGACAGAGGUGACAGGUGGUGCAUGGUUGUCGUCAGCUCGUGUCGUGAGAUGUUGGGUUAAGUCCCGCAACGAGCGCAACCCCUAUUGUUAGUUGCCAUCAUUUAGUUGGGCACACUAGCGAGACUGCCGGUAAUAAACCGGAGGAAGGUGGGGAUGACGUCAAAUCAUCAUGCCCCUUAUGACCUGGGCUACACACGUGCUACAAUGGCUGGUACAACGAGUCGCAAGCCGGUGACGGCAAGCUAAUCUCUUAAAGCCAGUCUCAGUUCGGAUUGUAGGCUGCAACUCGCCUACAUGAAGUCGGAAUCGCUAGUAAUCGCGGAUCAGCACGCCGCGGUGAAUACGUUCCCGGGCCUUGUACACACCGCC
This 1064-nucleotide ribosomal RNA is filed under the name uncultured Streptococcus sp. RNAcentral describes it as "bacterial SSU rRNA". It matches the Rfam family "Bacterial small subunit ribosomal RNA", at positions 337 to 1394 of the family's 1533-position model. Lineage: Bacteria; Bacillati; Bacillota; Bacilli; Lactobacillales; Streptococcaceae. The record is from RNAcentral.